Molecule: ribosomal RNA, 449 nt
Filed under: uncultured bacterium
Lineage: Bacteria
Description: partial 16S ribosomal RNA
Rfam family: Bacterial small subunit ribosomal RNA
Source: RNAcentral
AACGAACGCUGGCGGCAGGCUUAACACAUGCAAGUCGAACGAGAUCUUCGGAUCUAGUGGCAGACGGGUGAGGAACACGUGGGAACAUACCUUUCAGUUCGGAAUAACGUUGGGAAACUAACGCUAAUACCGGAUACGCCCUUCGGGAGAAAGAUUUAUCGCUGAAAGAUUGGCCCGCGUCUGAUUAGCUAGUUGGUGAGGUAACGGCUCACCAAGGCUACGAUCAGUAGCUGUUCUGAGAGGAUGAUCAGCCACAGUGGGACUGAGACACGGCCCAGACUCCUACGGGAGGCAGCAGUGGGGAAUAUUGGACAAUGGGGGCAAGCCUGAUCCAGCCAUGCCGCGUGAGUGAUGACGGCCUUCGGGUUGUAAAGCUCUUUUGUCCGGGAAGAUAAUGACUGUACCGGAAGAAUAAGCCCCGGCAAACUUCGUGCCAGCAGCCGCCGUAA